Non-coding RNA from Hordeum vulgare subsp. vulgare (domesticated barley), 81 nucleotides. The record is from Rfam. NCBI's taxonomy places the organism in Eukaryota, Viridiplantae, Streptophyta, Magnoliopsida, Poales, Poaceae.
GCCUUGAUGGUGAAAUGGUAGACACGCGAGACUCAAAAUCUCGUGCUGAAGAGCGUGGAGGUUCGAGUCCUCUUCUAGGCA